This 401-nucleotide ribosomal RNA is filed under the name uncultured bacterium. Its description in RNAcentral is "bacterial SSU rRNA". It matches the Rfam family "Bacterial small subunit ribosomal RNA", at positions 355 to 773 of the family's 1533-position model. The record is from RNAcentral.
UGGGGGAUAUUGCGCAAUGGAGGAAACUCUGACGCAGCAACGCCGCGUGAAGGAAGAAGGUCUUCGGAUUGUAAACUUUUGUCUUCGGGGACGAUAAUGACGGUACCCGAGGAGGAAGCCACGGCUAACUACGUGCCAGCAGCCGCGGUAAUACGUAGGUGGCGAGCGUUGUCCGGAAUUACUGGGUGUAAAGGGUGCGUAGGCGGGUUGACAAGUCAGAUGUGAAAUCCCAUGGCUUAACUGUGGGACUGCAUUUGAAACUGUUGGCCUUGAGUGCAGGAGANGUAAGCGGAAUUCCCAGUGUAGCGGUGAAAUGCGUAGAUAUUGGGAGGAACACCAGUGGCGAAGGCGGCUUACUGGACUGCAACUGACGCUGAUGCACGAAAGCGUGGGGAUCAAAC